AAAUGAAUGGUUGGACGAGAUAUUAACUGUUUCAUUAAAAUUUUGUUUAGAAUUUUAUUUUUUAGUCAAAAAGCUAAAAUUUAUUUAAAAGACGAGAAGACCCUAUAAAUCUUUAUAUUUUUUUUAUUUUAAUUAUUAAGAUUAAUUUUGUUUUAAUAAAAAAAAAUAUUUUAUUGGGGUGAUAUUAAAAUUUAAAAAACUUUUAAUUUUAAAAAAUCAUUAAUUUAUGAUUAUUUGAUCCAUUAAUAGUGAUUAAAAAAUUAAGUUACUUUAGGGAUAACAGCGUAAUUUUUUUGGAGAGUUCAUAUCGAUAAAAAAGAUUGCGACCUCGAUGUUGGAUUAAGAUAUAAUUUUGGGUGUAGCCGUUCAAAUUUUAAGUCUGUUCGACUUUUAAAUUCUUACAUGAUCUGAGUUCAAACCGGCGUAAGCCAGGUUGGUUUCUAUCUUUAAAAAAUUAUAAUAUUUUAGUACCGAAAGGACCAAAUAUUAGAAUAAUUAUAUUUUAAAUAAGAAUAUUAUUAAUUUAAAUGAAGCUAUUUUGGCAGAUUAGUGCAAUUAAUUA
RNAcentral lists this ribosomal RNA (562 nucleotides) under Drosophila bromeliae. Its description in RNAcentral is "partial 16S ribosomal RNA". The stretch from base 276 to 435 matches the Rfam family "Bacterial large subunit ribosomal RNA", at positions 2473 to 2632 of the family's 2925-position model. Lineage: Eukaryota; Metazoa; Arthropoda; Insecta; Diptera; Drosophilidae. The record is from RNAcentral.